Molecule: ribosomal RNA, 440 nt
Filed under: uncultured bacterium
Lineage: Bacteria
Description: partial 16S ribosomal RNA
Rfam family: Bacterial small subunit ribosomal RNA
Source: RNAcentral
CCUACGGGUGGCAGCAGUGGGGAAUAUUGCACAAUGGGGGAAACCCUGAUGCAGCGACGCCGCGUGAGUGAAGAAGGAAUUCGUUAUGUAAAGCUCUAUCAGCAGGGAAGAAAAUGACGGUACCUGAGUCAGAAGCACCGGAUAACUACGUGCCAGAAGCCGCGGUAAUACGGAGGGGGCAAGCGUUAUCCGGAUUUAAUGGGUGUAAAGGGAGCGUAGACGGCAGUGCAAGUCUGGAGUGAAAGGCGGGGGCUCAACCCCCGGAGUGCUCUGGAAACUGUACGGCUGGAGUGCAGGAGAGGUAAGUGGAAUUCCUAGUGUAGCGGUGAAAUGCGUAGAUAUUAGGAAGAACACCAGUGGCGAAGGCGGCUUACUGGACUGUAACUGACGUUGAGGCUCGAAAGCGUGGGGAGCAAACAGGAUUAGAUACCCCAGUAGUC